This 904-nucleotide long non-coding RNA is filed under the name Apis mellifera (honey bee). RNAcentral's name for it is "uncharacterized LOC100578839, transcript variant X5". The record is from RNAcentral. Lineage: Eukaryota; Metazoa; Arthropoda; Insecta; Hymenoptera; Apidae.
ACAUUAGUGGCGCUCGUAUUUAGGCCAGUGUGACUAGGGGAUCGACUACGUGUGUUCGGUGACGAAUUGAUCGUAUCAGGCGGUGUGUCCGAGGAAGCAACGAUCAAAGAAUCAGAAUUGGUCUCAGUGUAACCAAUUCUCUCGACGAUAGUUGCAAAACUAGGCCGGUCUUCAGGGCGUGGAUGCCAACAUCGUGUCAUUAAUCCAUAAAUAGGAUCAGGGCAUCCUGCAGGUUUUUCUAAACGACCCCCUAACGUUACCAUUGUCAUAGCCUCUCUAUUAGUACAACCAGUAUAUAAACAGAAGUUGUUCCGUAAUUCAAGAUGAAACUCACCAAACAUCAGUUUUCGUAGUGAAUAUCCCAUCUAGAAAACUUUCUGGUGGCAUCCAUUUAAUCGGUAACAUCGCCUUGCCUCCUUUUCUAUAAUAAUCGCUCCUAUAGAUAUCCUUUGCCAUGCCGAAAUCAGCGAUUUUCACUAUACGACCGGGUCCCUUGGACGUGAGCAAACAAUUUCUCGCGGCGAUAUCUCGAUGAAUAAAUCGGGCCUCUUCCAUAUAUUUGCAACCGUUCGCUACGUCAAAUCCGCACAUUAUCAAAUCCUGCAUCCUCAACGAAGUGGGCCGAUCCUGCCAAAACAGGAAUAUACGCAUGCACCCCAUUGAUGACGAGCGGCAAAAAUUAAGAGUUGACCCUGUUUAAAUUGCAAUCGAGAAACGACACAUAGUUAACAAAAAGUAAUGGAACUUAAUAGAAAAAUUAAUAAACAUAAGCCUUUUGGAUGAUGUAAAAUUAUGAAAUAAGGGAACGAAAAUGGAAACAACUUAAUUUAUUAAGUUCAAAUAAAUAAAACGUAAGAUUAUUUUAAUCGUAAAGUAAUAUACAGAAAUAAUUAGAGAUUUAGAA